CCAGGAUGUUGGCUUAGAAGCAGCCACUCAUUCAAAGAGUGCGUAAUAGCUCACUGGUCGAGUGAUCCUGCGCCGAAGAUUUCCGGGGCUAAAACUUACUACCGAAGCUACGGCAUCAGUAAUGAUGGGUAGGGGAGCUUCCCAUACGGGUUGAAGCAUGACCGUAAGGACAUGUGGACAGUAUGGGAGUGAGAAUGUUGGCAUGAGUAGCGAGAUGUGGGUGAGAAUCCCACAGGCCGUAAACCCAAGGUUUCCAGGGGAAGGUUCGUCCGCCCUGGGUUAGUCGGAACCUAAGCUGAGGCCGAAAGGCGUAGGUGAUGGACAACAGGUUGAUAUUCCUGUACUACCGAUAACCAUUUGAGAGAAGGGAUGACACAGUAGGAUAAGCUAAGCACACUGUUGGUUAUGUGUGCCCAAGCAUUGAGGCAGUCAAAGUAGGCAAAUCCGCUUUGAUAAUGCUGGGAUGUGAUGGGGAGCGAAAUUUAGUAGCGAAGUAGCUGAUUUCACACUGUCAAGAAAAGUCUCUA
Molecule: ribosomal RNA, 527 nt
Filed under: Clostridioides difficile
Lineage: Bacteria; Bacillati; Bacillota; Clostridia; Peptostreptococcales; Peptostreptococcaceae
Description: partial 23S ribosomal RNA
Rfam family: Bacterial large subunit ribosomal RNA
Source: RNAcentral